AUUGAACGCUGGCGGCAUGAUUUACACAUGCAAGUCGAACGGUAACAGGCCGCAAGGUGCUGACGAGUGGCGAACGGGUGAGUAAUGCAUCGGAACGUGCCCAGUCGUGGGGGAUAACUACUCGAAAGAGUAGCUAAUACCGCAUACGAUCUAUGGAUGAAAGCGGGGGACCGUAAGGCCUCGCGCGAUUGGAGCGGCCGAUGUCAGAUUAGGUAGUUGGUGGGGUAAAGGCUCACCAAGCCAACGAUCUGUAGCUGGUCUGAGAGGACGACCAGCCACACUGGGACUGAGACACGGCCCAGACUCCUACGGGAGGCAGCAGUGGGGAAUUUUGGACAAUGGGCGCAAGCCUGAUCCAGCAAUGCCGCGUGCAGGAAGAAGGCCUUCGGGUUGUAAACUGCUUUUUUACGGAACGAAACGGCUCUGGUUAAUACCCGGGGCUAAUGACGGUACCGUAAGAAUAAGCACCGGCUAACUACGUG
Molecule: ribosomal RNA, 482 nt
Filed under: uncultured bacterium
Lineage: Bacteria
Description: partial 16S ribosomal RNA
Rfam family: Bacterial small subunit ribosomal RNA
Source: RNAcentral